Non-coding RNA from Rattus norvegicus (Norway rat), 5211 nucleotides. The record is from RefSeq and is a predicted model, not a curated record. NCBI's taxonomy places the organism in Eukaryota, Metazoa, Chordata, Mammalia, Rodentia, Muridae.
CGGGGAAUCCAUGGAAGAUUCCUAUCCACAACAUAGCAGCAGAUUCUUGGUGGACAGUUCUCAUAUCCUUGGAAAUGUGUGAAAGAUUACCUACAGGAAAGUAACUUUUAUGAAGCAAGACGGACUUUUAUUUCUACCUUCCAGACAUGUUCAGAAGUUUCUCAGAUCAAGCCACAAGCAGUCAGGAGACCUGUCCAUCUGUCACCUCAUACUGCUCUGGUCCCAGGGAGCCUCAAAUCCAUUCAGUUCUUCCAAGUAACAGAACAUGUCCUUCACGUUCAGGUUCUGGAGUAUCAUCUUUGCUUCCAUCAGAUUCUUUCAAAUACCUCACUUGGUACAAUAUAGAACAGCACGAGAUUCAAGGUAGUCAGCUACAUUGUCCAAGAAUAAGAAAAGGACCCUCUGAAGAGUGGUUGCUUUCCAGACAGGUGGGAUGCACAUUGCCUCCAAAGAAAAGAGUACUUAAGAAAAACGAAUGGGAAACAUGGUUACAAGAAAACUGGGAAGAUUGCAAGAAACUGAACAUUUCAUUUCAGGAUCUGGGGGACCCUUACCAAGUUCAAAAUUUUAACAGGAUUCUUAGAAGACUGAUUCGAGUUGAAACCCUUUGGUUGGUGGAUAAUUCACUCAUUGAUUUAAGUGCCAUAAGAUUGCCAAGACCUUUUAAGUGUCAGAAGUCACAAAUAGAUGGACGCAGAGAUGAAAGAUAAGUGAAUCACAGAAGAGGAAAGAUGAAAGAUGUGUUAGAAGAGUCAGAGAUAUGAAAUAAAAAAACAAAAGUUAAACAGUGGGAACUAGUAAAAAGGAAUUAAGAAAAAGAAGGCAAGGAGUAAAACUAUCCAUUGCUGUUUUGAGAGAUCAACUAUAUCUCCAUGAUUUGAACAAGCAUAUCCAUAUUUUCUACUUUCAAGAACAUUCGAUAAAAGUUUCAUUCCCUGGUAUGGUAAGACAACCUCCUUCAUGUACAAAUGCCAAUCGUGGACCCCUCUGUUAAACAUGACAAAAACUGUUCUCUCAAUUAAAUUCUAUUUUGUUCUUUGUUCUUACCAUCUUCUAAAAAACAGGUUAUGUUCCUUGAAAAACUUAAAGGUCAUCCAAAAUGCUACAGAUCUUGAAAAAAGUGUUCAGCCUCUAGCAUCUUGGCCGAUCUUUAAAAGCUUUAACCAAAUUGUCUCCUAACAUUGUAUGGUUGUACAGUGCACAGGCAUAAGAACCUCAGUGUGGCUUGCUAGUAAUCACUGAAAAAGCUGUGCAUAAUAGUUUGCUUUUCAUUCAUGAGGUGUAGAGGCACAGGCUGGGGAAUUUCUAGAGUUUAGUGGUCAGCCAGCCUGGAUAAAUUGCAGAGCUCUUUGUGCAUGGAGAGACUCUUAUAAUGGUUUGAAUGAAACUAGCCUGCCCCCAUAGGCUCCUAAGAUGUGCUGUUGUUUUGAAAGGACUUGGGCAUGUGACCCUUUUGAAAUAACUGUGCCCUUGUUGGAGGAAGUGUCAUUGGGGGAAGCUUAAAGACUUCAGAAACUCAAGCCAGGCCCAAUGGUUCACAUUCAUUUCUUCAUGCCUUUACAUCCAGAUGUAGAACUCCCAACUAUCUCUCCAGUAUCCUAUCUGCCUGCAUGCUUUUACCUCUAAAUAUAAGCAAGCCCCAAUUAAAUGCUUUUUUUUUUAAUAAGAGUAGUCCUGGUCAUGGAGUUUCUUUGUAGCAAUAAAACCCCCUAACUAAGUCAACCUGUGAGAAAAGAAAGAAAGAAAGAGAGAGAGAGAGAGAGAGAGAGAGAGAGAGAGAAAGAAAACAAAGAAAAGAAAAAUGAAAAUUUAAAUAGUUACUUCUAGUACUCAUGCACAUCCACCUGCAUCUAUCUAUACAUGCAUAUGAACAUAUAUACAGACUGCACACACAUAUUUACAUACAUAUCUGUAUUAUCUUAUAAAAAAGAUAAAAUAGAAAUACUCUAUUCAGACCACAGAUAUUCUUUAAGAAUCAAUGACAACAUGAUGACCUGAAAAAUUACGCUUAUUCUAUAGCUUUCAAUUUUACAGCUAGGACCUGCCUUUUUGUCAAAUCUAUAAUUCUAAUCAAAGGGUUUACAACCUUUGGAUGUCAGGUUUUAGGUGUUUCCUUGGAAGCAGUUUAUGUUGUUUGGCUGUAGAAGACAAAAUAUUAAUGUCACCUUCAAAGGACUAACUAUCCCUUGCAUAAUUCUCCUCUCCUUGGUUGUAGGCAUGACAUAUUUGUCUUCAAAAGAGACAACUUGACCCUACCAAGUGAUUAUUUAAAUUUGGAUCUAAAAGUCAGUAGGAAAGAAGUCAGAGAUUUGAAGAGAGUGCAUUACCCUCUUCAGAGAUGGAAAGGCAGUAUGGAUAGCUUGUAAGAACUUAAGGUGAUCUCAAGGUGAGGACUAGUAAGGGACCUCAACAAAGAGACCUACCAAUAACUGAAAGUGCUAGAGAAUGGACUACUAAAGAGUACAGCCUUGCCAACACCUUGAUUUCAGCACUGGAAGAUCCUGAGAACAAAGCCUGUACUUCUUGUUAACAAAAUGGUAGGUCGUUACGUGAGUGUCAUUUAGCCUGGAAACUUUGUGGAAUUUGUUGUUGUUGUUGUUGUUUUUAAUAAAGAAAUAAAACUAAGAGGAUGUCCAGUACCUAACAUAUAUAUAAUACCACUAUUUAAUUCAGAAAACAAUGUAUUCUCUAUGAAUUUGAAAAUAAAAAGAGCAAGAAGGCUUUGGAAGAAAAAAAGAGGGGAAUUACAUAGUUAUAAUGUCAAAAAUUUAAAAUUCAAAAAUAUAACAAAAACAUUAUAAUCCUUUUAAAUAAAAUGACCAUAUAAAAUACUAAACAGUCUUUUGUAUAGUAAAUUCUUAAUUUAGCUUAAAACUCUCAUUACUACUCCUACUAUUACUGAGGUAAAGCAAACUUCCUAAAGGAAAGCAUUAUAUUCUAUAGCAAAGCUUUAGUUGUCACAGCUUAUUCACAAUAUCUUGGCAUAGCCAAAUGUAAAUAGUUAAAUUUUUUGUUUGGAAUGUCAUUCAUUUCAAUGGUGGUGACAUCUCCUAGUGAAAGAUAACAUCCCCAGUCCUUGAAAGUAUCCAUCACACCUACCUGUCAAGUUUGAUGAUGGGUAGAAGUUGAUAUAUACAGCAAGGACCACUCUUACAACUGUCCACUAAAUGUGGCAUUUAAAAUUUUAUGUACUAACUAUAAAACUGAAGUACCUCUACCAUCUAACAGAGCCCAACUGGCAUUCAUGUGAUAGACAAAUGAGACAACUUAGAAUACAGUCUCCUUAUAAGAUUGAAGAGUUAUGUCAACUCAUUCCAGCUCAGAUUGACACUGAGCAGUGAUGGACCUUAUAUUCUGAAUCUGACAGAUUUUGUGUACACUUAUGCAUAUGUGAAGCAGAACCCCACAUAGUCCUAGAUAGCAUUCAUCUCAAGCUAUAAGACAGGGGCUUUGACAUCCUGAUAAGACUAGCUUGACCUCCAUAACAGUGACUGAUAUUUCACAGUGUUACCAAAUUGCCAUAGAUCAUUUCUCAUUAUUGUCAAAUGAGGGCCUCGUUUACACCUUGGUCCUCAUUUUAAAAUACACUAGAGAAUAUUUAAAAAUACAGCAAUAUUUUGAUAUUUCAGAAGUUAGCAGUAAUGUACAUCACCACAAAGCAAAAGUCUGCAGAAGAUACACCAAGCACAAACAGAAACUUCCCUUUGUAGAAAGCCAUGGAGCAACAGCGAGAGAGAUAGAAAGAAACAAAGUACCUUGGACAUAAUCAGAAAACAAACAACACGAUUGUAGUUAUAAGUACUACUUGUACAUGAAUGUGAGUGAAGUAAGUUCUUUGAUAAAAACACAGAAUGUAUGAGAUGAGAAAAUAAGAUUUAUACAUUUUGACAUAGGAACUUACUCCAUUUUUCAUGACACACAGAAAGCGAUAGCAUGAAAAAUAUUUUAUGUAAAUGGAAACCAGCACAACAGGAGUAGUACCAUUUAUAGCAAAGAGCAUAUGGUUUAAGUUUUUUUAAAAAUAGAGCAAAGAACAAAUUAUGUGAUAGUGUGUCAAAUCAUAAGAGGUAUUAUCUGUAACCAUAUAUUUCCCUAUGUACCUAUAUGUAUAAACACUAGGAAUAUUAAAAUAGUAAAUAAAAAACUGUUAAGAUACCUGAAGAUAGAGAUUAUAACACAAUGACAGUUAAGUACUUUAUGUCCAGUUCCUAAUGAUAACAGAUCAUCUAAUCAGAGAAUUAGGAAGUAAAUUUGGGCUAAAAGAAAAUUUUAAUCCAAUAGACCUAACAAAAAUAAAGAUAAUAUUAUGUUAAACAACACCAUAUAGUUUCAACAAAAAGUAAAAUUAUAUUUUUUCUUGAUAAAGAUAUAUCUCUCAAUGUAAAGACUCACCAGAUUUCUGUCAAAACAAUAAACAAAGAAAAAUAGCAGAUUCAAAAUCAAUAUAAAAAGCAAAUCAUAUUUUAUACCAAGUUAUUCAUAGAACAGUUCAAGAAAAUAGUCUUAUUUAUAGUAGCUACAAGAAGUAACCUCCUUAGUCAUACAUUUCUCAAGAAGGUAAAAUGUCUGUACAGUUCACUCAAAAAUAGAUGGAAAUAGGAAACUUGGACUACAUAAAGAAAGUACAACACAGAAAGACAGAAAGACAAAUACUGAAUAUGUGGAAGCAAAACCAGAAACACAAAACCAUUAUUUUGGCCCAUGCUGGCCUCUGUCUCUUCAUAAAACAUACAAGGACAUAGAACUACUGAUCUUUCUGUCUCAGUCUUCAAAAGGCUGAGAUUAUAGAUAUGAACCCCCAGGUCAAGUUUAUGGAGUGAUGGGAAUCAAACCCAGGUCUUCACACAGGGUAGGCAAGAAUUCUACCAACUACAUCUCAAACCUCACAAAAGUUAAUCUCAAUGUGAUUUAUUGGUUGCUGGGGGCUUGGAAGGAUAUUAGAGUGUGAAGUUAAAGUAAUUUUGGAUGAUAAGUAACCGUAAAUUGUUAGGAAAGAGUUUUAAGAUAUAUUGUUUUACAAAGAAUUGAUACAAAUACAGUAUAUAAAAUUACUAAUUAUCUAAUGAGUAAAGGAAAUGUAAUUAAAGAGUCCGGAGUUAAAACAGUAAGGACAAAAAGCACUACUUAUCCUAGUUUGAUAUAUAUUAUACACACAUACAGAAAUAUCACAGCAUUCUGUGUAAGCACAUAAACUUCUAUGUGUUAGUCCAA